RNAcentral lists this non-coding RNA (29 nucleotides) under Mus musculus (house mouse). Lineage: Eukaryota; Metazoa; Chordata; Mammalia; Rodentia; Muridae. The record is from RNAcentral.
UCUUUUGCAGCUAGCAAUCACUGGGUGGC